This 258-nucleotide ribosomal RNA is filed under the name uncultured Glomeromycotina. RNAcentral's name for it is "partial large subunit ribosomal RNA". Lineage: Eukaryota; Fungi; Glomeromycota. The record is from RNAcentral.
CAGUCGUACCUUCGGGUAAUCAGCCUUUCGGGUGUGUUUUUGUGGAGCGCGAGGAGUUAAACGCCUUCAUGCCUGUAUAUUCGUGCACUUUGGGUGUACUUGCCCGUGUGGUAGGUUAACAUCAAUUUUGGACGCCAUAAAAUGGCUGGAGGAAUGUAGCUUCGAUCUCGUAUUGAAGUGUUAUAGCCUUCGGUAGAUGUGGUUUUUGAGAUUGAGGAUUGCAACGGAUACCCUUCGGGGCUACCUAUCUGAUCUCUG